GCUUACGGCCACACCGCCUGGUUCACGCUUGAUCUCGGAAGCUAAGAUAGGUUGGGGCCUGGUUAGUACUUGGAUGGGAGACCGCCUGGGAAUACCCAGGUGCUGUAAGCU
RNAcentral lists this ribosomal RNA (111 nucleotides) under Scophthalmus maximus (turbot). The record is from RNAcentral. Lineage: Eukaryota; Metazoa; Chordata; Actinopteri; Pleuronectiformes; Scophthalmidae.